Molecule: ribosomal RNA, 515 nt
Filed under: uncultured human intestinal bacterium
Lineage: Bacteria
Description: bacterial SSU rRNA
Rfam family: Bacterial small subunit ribosomal RNA
Source: RNAcentral
AGAGUUUGAUCCUGGCUCAGGACGAACGCUGGCGGCGUGCCUAACACAUGCAAGUCGAACGGGGUUACAUUGAGGAAGUUUUCGGAUGGAAUUGAUGUAAUCUAGUGGCGGACGGGUGAGUAACGCGUGAGUAACCUGCCUCGAAGAGGGGGAUAACAACGAGAAAUCGUUGCUAAUACCGCAUAAGACCACAGGGCCGCAUGGUCCAGGGGUCAAAAAUCCGGUGCUUUGAGAUGGACUCGCGUCCCAUUAGGUAGUUGGUGAGGUAACGGCCCACCAAGCCGACGAUGGGUAGCCGAGCUGAGAGGCUGAUCGGCCACACUGGGACUGAGACACGGCCCAGACUCCUACGGGAGGCAGCAGUGGGGAAUAUUGGGCAAUGGGCGCAAGCCUGACCCAGCAACGCCGCGUGAAGGAUGAAGGUUUUCGGAUUGUAAACUUCUGUCCUCAGGGACGAAAGAAAUGACGGUACCUGAGGAGGAAGCCCCGGCUAACUACGUGCCAGCAGCCGCGGU